Molecule: non-coding RNA, 106 nt
Organism: Gossypium hirsutum (cotton)
Lineage: Eukaryota; Viridiplantae; Streptophyta; Magnoliopsida; Malvales; Malvaceae
Source: Rfam
AACCCAUAAUGAGGGCACCUUCUCAAUAAGUCCUUGUACCUCUCCCAUGCACUAUACAAAGUUUCUAAAUCCAUCUGCAUAAAAGAAGAUAUACAUUCCUUAAUUU